This 29-nucleotide non-coding RNA is filed under the name Mus musculus (house mouse). The record is from RNAcentral. Lineage: Eukaryota; Metazoa; Chordata; Mammalia; Rodentia; Muridae.
GAACAGUUCUAAUGUCAGAAAAGAAGAAG